RNAcentral lists this ribosomal RNA (109 nucleotides) under Candidatus Giovannonibacteria bacterium GW2011_GWC2_44_8. The record is from RNAcentral. Lineage: Bacteria; Candidatus Giovannoniibacteriota.
GUUCUGGUGAUUUAAGGCGGUGGUCCCACCCGUUCCCAUUCCGAACACGGUCGUGAAACGCCGUACUGCCGAUGAUACUCAAAAGGGAAAGUAGGUAGUCGCCAGAACU